Alligator mississippiensis (American alligator) is the source of this 6236-nucleotide long non-coding RNA. RefSeq lists it as uncharacterized. The transcript has 3 exons. The record is from RefSeq and is a predicted model, not a curated record. NCBI's taxonomy places the organism in Eukaryota, Metazoa, Chordata, Crocodylia, Alligatoridae.
GUCUGAGCACCAUUGGUGUAGUAGACAGAUACUGUUGCACAAGGCAGUGUUGUUCUGUAUCAGAGCUGUCCAGCUUCUAAGCAACUGGGAGCGCCAUACUCACUGUGGACCACACCAGCAAGGGUCCCCCUGGACUGCACACUGCAUAGGCACCACCCCCUAUACUGCACUGUGUAUGUAUAUGCUCUGGCCUCACUCUCAGCAUGUGUAUGCUCUGGCCAUAUGCUGUACCAUGCCACCCCAUCCCCUGAGGUAGGGGAAUGUAACAACUAGAGGAGAGAGGAGGAACCUGGAGCCCCUGAUUAGUGCUGCAGCCAGACUGACGGCAGCAGCAGCUUGGUGGUGACAAGGUAGGAGCCCGGAGGUCACAAAUUAAGCCCUUGCAGGCUGCAUGCACCUCACCAGCUAGACAGCUCUGUUCUAGAUCAUGCAAAAAACUGGCUGGAGACACCAGUAGAGAAUCACAUUACAUUUUUGUGGACAUUUGAAGUCUGUUUUAGAUUGGCUAAGCUGAAGUACUGAAGAGAAGGACCAGUUGGCUGAAUAUGAGCCAAUACUGUACUCUUGUUGCAAAAAAAUGUCAACAAUAUACUGGGUUGUAUUAGCAGGAGUGUCACUUGCAAAUCAAAGGAAGGGAUUAUUUUGCUCUGUUCAGCACUGGUGAGGCAUCAUCUGGAGUACUGUGUCCAGUUUUGGGCCCCACACUUCAAGAAAGAUGCAGACAGAUUGGAAAGAGUCUGGUAGAGGGCAAGAAAAAUUAUUAGAGGCUUGGGAAGCAAGACUUCUAACAACAGAGUGAAAGAGCUGUGGUUAUUUAGUCUGGAGAAGAUAAGACUGAGAAGGGAUUUAAUAGUGGUCUUCAAAUACCUGGGGUAAUUACAGAGAGAAUGGAGAUGAAUGAGAUUUUCUCUGUGACCAGAGGUGACAGGACUAGGAGCAAUGGAUUCAAACUUCAGUGGAAGAAAUUUAGGUUAGAGAUUAAGAGGAGCUUUUUGACCAUGAGGGAGGUCAAGCAUUGGAAUAGGCCGCCUAGUGAAGUUGUGGAAUCUCCAUCCCUGGAAAUUUUCAAGAGCAAGUUGGACAGAGACUUGGCUGGGAUGGUUUAGUCGGGGAUGAUUCUGCCUCGAGCAGAGGGCUGGACUACAUGAUAUUGUGAAGUCCCUUUCAUUUUCUGUUAUCCUAAAUCUUAUGCAAAUUAGAUUGCUCUGAGUAAAAUGUUGUCAAAUAACUACUGUAGCCAUGGAAACCCUAAAAAUAUAUCUUUUUUCUUAAGGAAGAAAGGAAUAUCAGCUGUUAAAAUUUAUUCUAAGUUCAAAUACCUUUAGUUGGGACAGUUUACUUUAAAUAGUUAAGGGAUAAUUACUUUAAAUUUGGGUUUAUUGAUUUUUCUGUAUUCUAAAUAGGUGACUUUCCCAACUGGACUGUAUAGCAUCAAACCUCUAUCCAUUCUUGAGGUGUGACUUUUUUUUUUUUUCCCACUAAUAGUAAAACAAAAAAACCCAAUUUAGGCCUCAUGCCAGAUUAGGUUGUUCCUGGGGAUCCUAGUGUAGUGAUCAUAAGAUUCAGUAUGAUUACUAUGCAUAUAGGUCAGUACUACCCAGUCUUCUCUGUUUCAGACCACAAAUGCAGUCCUGUUAAGGCUUUUAUUCCAUCCAGGCUCAAACAACAUGGCAGAUGAUACCAUCCAGAGCCACUACUUGCACUAUCUCCAGGAAAAAAAACAAUAACUUCUUCCAGCCCUGGUUCAAGAUGUGGUUUGGCAUCCCAAUGCAGAUGUCAAAAAUGUUUUGAUACCACAUUAAAGAAAUAAUGAUUCUACUUCUAAUACCAAAGCUUAGAUAUCCUAUCUUAUUUCAUCUUCUUGCAUGUGAUAUUUUUGUCACAACAACUUUAUUAAACUGUUUAAAUUAUGUAAAACAGAGAUUUUUGAGGAAGGAAUUAGAUAUCUGGUUUCCCCACAUUACCUGUAAAAAUAUACUGAAACCCCAAGCUUUCAAAAAAGAUUCCAGGAAAAUGACUGGCAAGGAAUACUAGGUGUACAAAGCUCUUAUCUGGAGAAUCGUAGAAAUAAGGAGCUGGAAGAGACCUCAGGAGGUCACUUAGUCCAAUCACUGCUCAGUGUGGGAACAUCUCAUUCUAAACCAUCCCAGACAAAUAUUUAUCUAACCUUCACUUGAAAACCUCCCAUGAUGGAGAUUCCACAGCCUCUGCAGAUAAUCUGUUCCAGUUUUUAGUCACCCUCAUAUUUGGACAGUUCUUUUUAAUAUCCAAUCUAAAGUUCCCUUAUUGCAAUUUAUGGCAUUUACUACUUGUUUUGUCUUUCAUGGAUUCAGAGAAUAGUUGAUUGCCAUCCUCUUUGAAACAACCCCUUUUGUAUUUGAAGACUGUUCUCCCUCAGCUUUCUCUUCUCUAAGCUAAAUAACUGCACUUCAUCCAACCUUUCCCUGUACAUCAUGCUUUCUACACUUCUGAUACCUGUUGUUGCUGUCUUCUGCACUUCUUAAAAUUUGUUCACAUCGUUCUUGAAGUGCAGUGCCCAAAACUGACAUAGUAAGACUUCCCAAUGCUGAACAGAGUACAAGAUUCGCUUCUCCAGACAAGCAUGUGUAACUCCUAGGAUGCUGUUAGCUUUUUUCCAGUAAUACUACGUUGUUGACAUCUACUCAACUUACAGUUUCCUGUAAACCAUAGGUCCUUUUUUGCAGUAGUGCAGUAGCCAGUCAUUCACCAAUUUUUAUUUGUGCCUUUGAUUGUUCAGUUCUAAGUAUAGUACUCUGCACUUGCCCUUAUUUAAUUUUAUCAAAUUUAUAUCAGAUCACUUCUCUAAAUUAUCAAGGUAAUUUUGAAACCUAAUCCUAUCAAGUGUCUGCUGCCCCAUCCAGUUUGGUAUCAUGUUCAAAUGUGCUAAUUAGAUUCCAUUCUCCAAGUCACUAACACAAAUACUGAAUUGUAUGAGACCUAGGACAGACCCUGAAGAUACCUCCUGCCAGUUGGACAUUGAGCUACUGAUGACUAUUUUUUGAGCAUGAUGGUCUUUGGAGUUAUGAACUCACCUUACAGUAGUUUAAUUUAGACCAGGGAUGCCCAAAUCACCUGGGGACCAUAGGGCUCCUUGUGGGUAAGAUCCAGCCUGGGUCAUCCAGACAGCCACUGUGGGCAAUGCAGCAGUGGUGGGUCUGGCAGCAGUGACUGGUAAGGAGUUCAGGGGAGGGAGUCUACAUGCACAGUGGCAGUCGGGGGCCAGCAGUGUUAAGCUUAGUUUGCUGCUGACAACCCUGGCUAGCAGGGCCAAAGGGUCCACUGAUGGCCCAGCCGGCCAAACAGAGAGCCUUUGCGGGCUGGUUCUAGCCCAUGGGGCAUCUGACACUCCUCAUCUAGACUCUAUUUCCUUAGCUUACAUAUGAGAAUGGCAUGGGAGAUAGUGUCCAAAACUUGCUAAAAGCAAGGUAUAUUACAUCCGCUGCUCUCCCCCAUCCACAAAGGUCAACAACUUGGGCACCUAUACAUGUGCCCGAUACCUGCUCUGAUGUGUUCUAAUUACAACGCUCCAGCAGCCUCGCCGUCACAUAUUCAGCACCCCCGUGUUUCCAAACGGUGGUGGAAGCACUUAUAACUAAAAUUUGUCAAAUGAGCUUUAGUUAAAACCCCCCCGCCACCAUUUUGAAGCGCGAGAUGUGGAAUCCUUGUGAUGCUGAGGCUGCUGGGGUGUUCUGCUUAGAGCAGACUUCAUAGACUUUCAUAGACAUCAGACUUGAUUAAUUGAGUCUGAUCUGAUGCGUUCCAAUUAGACUUGUAAAGUUGGGGAGCACAUGUAAAGAUGCCCCUUGUCUAUAAGAACUAGGAAGAAAAUUCUGGAAGAGCAAGGAUCCAGGAGUCUGUGGAAAGUGGAUUUGCUGGAGGCUAGUAAUAUUUCCUUUGCCCUAGGGAUACUGAUGCUAGUUGAUAACCUGCAAAUCCUGUUGUAGAAGACAAGGGCUUUGGCCAGGAUUUUUUCACAAUAGCAUAAUAUGAAGCGAGUUUGCUUGAAAAUAUCAAUAUUAAAGACAACAAACACACAUUCAAAGGGCACAGGAGGCCCAAGAAAAGAACCAUUCUCUCUUUUCCGUGUGGUUACACAGUUCACUGGCUCAUGAAGAAUUUUAAAAAAUCAGCAACUUUUCACUGCAAGCCUAUGGCAAACAUCCACAAGAACCAUCUUAGAUGCCUUUCUAGGUAGGCUUGAUGAAUAGCAGGUUGCCAGGAACAGCACCCAUCUUGUUUUCUGAGAUAAUGCCACAAAUAUGCUGAAAACUUUUUCUGACUAAAAGGUAUACAAUUUUCUGACUCGUUUUACUUCUGGAUAAAUAAUGCUUUUAAAGAAAUAUUUCAACACAAACAUGAAUUCAGUAAUGCAAAUGCCAUUUUUAAAGCACUUUUCUGUUGCAGGGCUCCCCAUGAGUCUCUGUGCAAACUGGAGAUCUCAAUUGAUACCAAGAUGUAAUUCCAUGACUUGUGCAAUGGAAAACCUGGCAUAGAGCUAUGAUUUUUGAUGACUUCCUAAUCAAACUAAACAGAACUGCAAAGAGAGGCUCACAGAGUUUGCAAUUCAGGUUCUUUUAACUUGACUCUUCUGAGAAGGCAAGAAAAGUUCUUGAGAUGUCGAUGCAUCUGUUUUGGUGCCAGGUAUUUGGCUAUAAUAUCCAGUUCACUAUGGGAAUGUCAAAUUAAAACACAAAAGUCAUGGGAUAGAGAGGAGAGAGGGAAGCUCUUGUUGUCCAUCUGAGCAUUUUAACUGGUAUAUCUAAGGAAGGAAGAUGCCACAGUUUUCAUCUUUUAACCUUCUUCCCAACUCUGACAUUUUCCAAACCGGACUUUAUCUUCUGAGAGCUCUGUGCCUGUGAGAAGCUUGGCAUGGAUGCCAGCUGCUACCAAAGAACACAGAAAAGCUUUUUUGUGUUUGAACUGCAAUCUGUCCACACUUGAUUUUAAGCACUAAUGAGACUACUUGUAAUUCUACACCAUGUUUCUCAGAUUUUAACCUACUUUCUACUGUGCUUAAUUUGCUUAGGGUCUGUACAAGAUUACUGCAUGCAACUCAAGCACCUUUACCAAAUAUGAUUUAAUAUAGUUUUUAAAUGUUCUGCUGAUGUUUGUAAUCCAAGAAGUAUUUCUAUUGAAAUCUUAAAACAAUAUAAUUAAGAUGGGAUGUGAAUAUAUGACUCUUUUAGUAAAGGUAUUAAGUAAUGUCUUAUUUAGAUGUGUAUUUAUUUAGAUACUGAACUGAUAAAAGGUUGCCAAGUUGAAUCCACAGAAGUGGUAUACAAAAAAAGACUAAUUCUGAAUGUCCUAGUGUUAUACAAUGCACAGUGCUUUUUUUUUUUUAAGAUGUUAUGUUAAUAGAAUACAAUAGCAGUGGAUUCAACAGCAGAAGAUUCAACCUGAGAAAUAACUUAUAUUUUACUCUUCAAAGAGAUACAAAUGUUGGAAAGACAUUCUGAGAACCCAGUAUAGCUCAGAACAGGCACAGAAAAGAACACUGCACAAUUAAGAGUCUAAAUAUGAUCUAGGAGCCCACUCAUCUCUACACGCAUGGAUUUGGAAAUGUUGGCCUCUGCUUUUAAGUUUCUCCUUGGAACUUUAAAUAAGAUUUUGGGAAAUUCUCUCUACUAGCUGAAGACUUGCUGGAAGUACUCCAGACUCAUGGGAACUUCAGUAUGUGCAGUUCAAGGAUUACAACUGUUGUUGCGUUCUAUAGCCUUAUAUUUAGCAAAAUGAAGUAACUUAUAUUUUUACAUAGGUAUGGUCUGACCAAACUUCAUUUUGGGUAACAUAUUUAUUAGUGGGGUCUUUAAGAACAGAUGUUAAGUGGUUAAUUAAUUGUGAUUCUUUUAACAUGCCAAGUAAGUAAAAUACCCAUCACAACACAGAGCGGCAUUCAGUUAUUUCGAAAUUCUAAAAAUUUAAAGUUUUUUCCACUUAAACUUGCGUUUCUGGGCUUUGGCCUGAACUCUGAGUGGAAGUGCCAAAAUACCGCGAGAGCGUCUGUUGCUGCAGUAUGUCUGGCCCAACCAGAAGCAGGAAAUACUUGUGAGAGCCUGUCUCAAGAGAUUGCCAGCCAGUUUUGAGGUUUGCCUGUCGCUAUUUAUUAGAAGAAAGUGGAGAGCAGAGAAUGUAGCUGAGAGAGAGAAUUUGGAAGGCAUGUAAAAAUGGCCAACUAGAAAUGAUGGUAGACUUUUUUUUUUACACUGAAACAAGAA